This 790-nucleotide long non-coding RNA is filed under the name Callithrix jacchus (white-tufted-ear marmoset). RNAcentral's name for it is "lncRNA (ENSCJAG00000076674.1)". The record is from RNAcentral. Lineage: Eukaryota; Metazoa; Chordata; Mammalia; Primates; Cebidae.
AUGAGGUGGCUUUAUUUUUGCAUAUGUUGGAGGUCCUCUGUGAAUCACUGUGUGCAGAGAAUGCUUCUUUAUUCUGCAUCCUGGCCAGUGAUCACGGGGCAAGCUGGAGAGAAAUGGAACAGAGGAUAUCUCCCCCAAAAUAAGGCUUUUCUACAGAAAGAGGAGGAGGCUGGAGUACAGUGUUGUGAUCAUGGCUUACUACAACUUCCGCCUCCUGGGUUUAAGCCAUCCUCCCACUUCACCCUCCUGAGUAGCUUGGACUACAGGCAUGCACCACCAUGCUGGGGCAUUUACAGCUAGAACGGGAGAAUGUUUUGGAGGAAAGAAGGCAUUUCAUGCUCCGAUCACCUCCGGUAGGCAGUUGCCUCUUCCUCUACCAUCCGCUUCGUAUCAUUUUUCCAACUCCUUGAUGUGAUUUGAACAGAGUGGCUGUGAGUGGCAGUGGUGCACAGGCUUGCCGUGGUGAGUCUCUGUGGAAAGGAACAAAGCUAGGCAAGGCUCCAGGUGACAGCCUGCCUGCCACCGCGUAAGAGGAGGGAACAAUGGAACUUGCCAUUUGGAGGGACUGUGGGCUUCCAGCCUCCUGCAGGAGGAUCAGCAGCUGCCAGUGGCAUCCAAACUCCACUUUCUGCACAAAAUGAAGAUGUCACGGGGACAGAAAAAUGCCAGUCAAUUGCCCUUUGAUUUUCUAGUCUACCCGAGCAGCAGUAGCAGUUUUGUCCCUCAAACUCUUUUCUGGCAAAGCCUAUAGGGCCCAAGAACAGCUUUUAUUCUACGUGCAUGUAGGGGG